RNAcentral lists this long non-coding RNA (424 nucleotides) under Mytilus galloprovincialis (Mediterranean mussel). Lineage: Eukaryota; Metazoa; Mollusca; Bivalvia; Mytilida; Mytilidae. The record is from RNAcentral.
GAAAAAAGAUUAACUAUGCUGUAUAAAAUAAAUUGGGGGUUAGUUGAAGUUCCUAAGGACAAUUUAACAAUAUCUGAUAGACGUACUAGGGGGAAACAUAAAUUUAGGCAAAUAUCAACAAAUAAAGAUUUCUAUAAAUUUUCAUUUUAUCCUCGCACUAUUUCGGACUGGAACUCACUACCUGAAGCAAUAGGUAUGUCUGACACCCUGGAAUCCUUCAAAAGUGGCAUAUCCACUCUAACAUUUGAAGGAUCCACAACAACUUAUUAAACUACAAAGCCACUGUACAUAAUGUAUAUGUUAUUGUUAACGAUUUUUCUUUGUCAUAUUAUUUUUAAAUUAAGUCCAUAUGUACAUAGCACACAAGUUCCGGGAAGUUUUACACUCCUACCUAGGAGUCUACUCCCGUAUUCGGAAGAAGAAG